UGGGCAAAUAUGAAACUAGAUCUCGCCAUGCAUCAGAACGGCCUGAUUCUUCUGUAAGAGCAACAGAGCAGCAAAAACAAGAGAAGUGAGGACACGGAUCAUCCACAUAUAUCAGCACAUACAUGAUCCUCCGUAUGAAUUCUCUUUAGAUGAUGAAUUCUCUUUUGAUGAAGAUGGAGGGUGGUUCGUCGAGUAUUUAUACUGACUUAACUUCCUUCCAGAGCCAACUUUCCUCAGGAAAAGGUUCUAACAGCCCAUUGUCCCUCUUUGCCUUCUUCUGAAUCAGAGAAUAGUCUUGUAACCAACUGAAAAUUGUAAAUUAUUGACCAAAAAUGGAAGCUAAAUUUUCAAAAGAGAGGGCUCACAUUGACAGUAUCUG
Molecule: unclassified non-coding RNA, 379 nt
Filed under: Hevea brasiliensis (rubber tree)
Lineage: Eukaryota; Viridiplantae; Streptophyta; Magnoliopsida; Malpighiales; Euphorbiaceae
Source: RNAcentral